GGGCUCAAUAGAAUUUUUGCUUGAGAAAAUUAAGGGUUCCAAGACUCCAUUGUGAAAUUGAUAUAAGUUGGAGAACUUCAAGGAGGUGAGUUUUUAAAAACAUACACAAUUUCAACUAUGAGUUGAUUAUCAGUAAUCUUCCAGAACCAUAACUAAUAUAAGAGAAUAAUCUCGUGUCUCACUUCACAUACUCGCAUGUUUUAUUAAUAAUUUGAAAAAUACAAAGUCCUUUAAUUCCAAAUCACAUAAGCAUCCUAGCAAUUACUAAUUCAAUUCAAACUCCAAUAGAAAA
Molecule: unclassified non-coding RNA, 292 nt
Filed under: Hevea brasiliensis (rubber tree)
Lineage: Eukaryota; Viridiplantae; Streptophyta; Magnoliopsida; Malpighiales; Euphorbiaceae
Source: RNAcentral